AGUGAACGCUGGCGGUAGGCCUAACACAUGCAAGUCGAACGGCAGCACAGUAAGAGCUUGCUCUUACGGGUGGCGAGUGGCGGACGGGUGAGGAAUACAUCGGAAUCUACUUUUUCGUGGGGGAUAAUGUAGGGAAACUUACGCUAAUACCGCAUACGACCUACGGGUGAAAGCAGGGGAUCUUCGGACCUUGCGCGAUUGAAUGAGCCGAUGUCGGAUUAGCCAGUUGGCGGGGUAAAGGCCCACCAAGGCGACGAUCCGUAGCUGGUCUGAGAGGAUGAUCAGCCACACUGGAACUGAGACACGGUCCAGACUCCUACGGGAGGCGGCAGUGGGGAAUAUUGGACAAUGGGCGCAAGCCUGAUCCAGCCAUACCGCGUGGGUGAAGAAGGCCUUCGGGUUGUAAAGCCCUUUUGUUGGGAAAGAAAAGCAGCAGGUUAAUACCCCGCUGUUCUGACGGUACCCAAAGAAUAAGCACCGGCUAACUUCGUG
This 492-nucleotide ribosomal RNA is filed under the name uncultured bacterium. RNAcentral's name for it is "partial 16S ribosomal RNA". It matches the Rfam family "Bacterial small subunit ribosomal RNA", at positions 29 to 507 of the family's 1533-position model. The record is from RNAcentral.